RNAcentral lists this ribosomal RNA (788 nucleotides) under Pilatobius ramazzottii. RNAcentral describes it as "SSU rRNA". It matches the Rfam family "Eukaryotic small subunit ribosomal RNA", at positions 102 to 892 of the family's 1831-position model. Lineage: Eukaryota; Metazoa; Tardigrada; Eutardigrada; Parachela; Hypsibiidae. The record is from RNAcentral.
UAAAUCAGUUAUGGUUCACUAGAUCGUACAGUUUACAUGGAUAACUGUGGUAAUUCUAGAGCUAAUACAUGCAACCAGUCGGUGCCUUCGGGUGCCGACGCAGUUAUUUGCCCAAAAACCAAUCCGGCCUUCGGGUCGGUCAAUUGGUGACUCUGAAUAACCGAAGCGGAGCGCUUGGUCUCGUACCGGCGCCAGAUCUUUCAAGUGUCUGACUUAUCAGCUUGUUGUUAGGUUAUGUUCCUAACAAGGCAUCAACGGGUAACGGGUUGUCAGGGCCAGACACCGGAGAGGGAGCCUGAGAAACGGCUACCACAUCCAAGGAAGGCAGCAGGCGCGCAAAUUACCCACUCCCGGCACGGGGAGGUAGUGACGAAAAAUAACGAUGCGAGAGCUUUAUGCUUCUCGUAAUCGGAAUGGGUACACUUUAAAUCCUUUAACGAGGAUCUAUUGGAGGGCAAGUCUGGUGCCAGCAGCCGCGGUAAUUCCAGCUCCAAUAGCGUAUAUUAAAGUUGCUGCGGUUAAAAAGCUCGUAGUUGGAUCUGGGUAGUCGAUGGACGGUGCGCCGUAAGGCGUUACUGUUCGUUCGGCACCACAUGCCGGCCAUGUCUUGCAUGCUCUUCACUGAGUGUGCUUGGCGACCGGAACGUUUACUUUGAAAAAAUUAGAGUGCUCAAAGCAGGCGUUAAGCCUUGCAUAAUGGUGCAUGGAAUAAUAGAAUAGGACCUCGGUUCUAUUUUGUUGGUUUUCGGAGCUCGAGGUAAUGAUUAAGAGGAACAGACGGGGGCAUU